ACGCUUAUGUUUUUCUAGUAUGUUUUCUCUCUUUAUUUGCUUUCUUUUGGCAAUUUUUGACAAAAAGGGGGAGAGCAUAGAUGAAGGGGGAGAGCAUGGAUGAACAGGCGAUGAACUAAGCAGAGGUUGAUGAGUUCAAGAACAUAGGGGGAGAUGUGUUCGAGACGUGAAGAACAAAGGGCGAGAAGGUAUAAGAAUUUAGUGCUAAUCAAUUUUGAGUUUAGUGUUUUGCAGGAAAUCAAGACUUCAAGACUCCUAGUUGUGUCUAAGUCAUAGAGUCUGUUUUAGGAAUUUUGAUGUAAUUUUGAGUUUCAAAUUGUAUUUGGAUUACACGCGAGGGGUUCGAUGUUUUGGUGAUGACAUUGAACUUCGUUUUUCUUUAAAUUGUAAUUUGUGUUUUUGUGUGUGUUUUGUCACGAAAUUGCCAAAGGGGGAGAUUGUUAGGUCCUAUGUGUUGGCAAGUUUCGUGGGUCGAGUCGGAGUCUUGAAGAAGUUCGGAGCGGAGUAUUGAAGAUCGAAGAAUCCAAGACUUCGAAGAAUCGGAAAGGAUGCAAAACACGUAAAACAUGAAUCACGAUGCGUAGGUAAGCUUUAAAUCUUGUUUAUGGUGAUUCAUACUUAAUUAUAGAUCUUAGAAUCAUGUUUUCAAGUUAUAAUUGAUUAGAAAGUUUCUAAGAGUUUGUAAAAUCCAAAACAAUGCAUUUUCAGCGAAAAUUGCAUUGCUGUACCGGUACAAGGCUUUUCUGUCCAGGGUACAGCCAUCAACGUUCGCGCAGAAGUUUGAUGGUUGUUCCGGUACAAGCUUCAUGCUGUACCGGUACAAGCCCUGUUCCGGAACAAGCAACAGCCUAUCCAGGGUACAGGAGCUUCGCAGAAAAAUCUUCCGUCAU
Molecule: long non-coding RNA, 890 nt
Filed under: Ananas comosus (pineapple)
Lineage: Eukaryota; Viridiplantae; Streptophyta; Magnoliopsida; Poales; Bromeliaceae
Description: long non-coding RNA (ACOM_LNC038368)
Source: RNAcentral